GGUUUUUUCCGAGGAAUACUAGUUUCCUCGGUAUUCCGUCGGAAUAUUCCGACGAGAUGAAUUUUCCUCGGAAUUCCGUCGGAAUAUUCCGAGGAAAUUCCGAGGAAGCCAAAUUUUGUGUUUCCUCGGAAAUUCCUUGGUAUAUUCCGAGGAAUUCAUUUUCCGUCGGAACGUCCGUCAGAAUACCGCUGUUUUCUUGUAGUGAAUAUACCUAUUCUUAUGUACAAUGUAAACAAACUUGACUUAAAACAUUAUGAUUUAACCUAGCUGAACUAAGUGCGAGCAAAAAGAUUAUAUAUAAUCCUCGUUCCAAUCAUGAGAAUACUAUAGCCGGGGUUGUUGGCAGUUGGAUGUGUGGUAACAGUGAAUGCGAACACACAGACCAUAUCUGCUUGUUUUAAGAUAUGGUUUUAAAUGUCAAAACUCUAUUAUUAUCAUUUUCAAAAUUAGGUCAAAAACAUUAUUCACAAUUAUGAAGAAAGUGAUUUUACUGUUUGUUAUCACUUAAAUUAACUUUUUGUAACGGAUGAGCUGACCAAUGACAUUUUUUGUCAACUGACGAGUGACAUUAUACAGGGACCCCGAACACUUUCGUAUGUCAACUUAAUUUGCAAGUACCCAAGGUAUAAAAAAUCGUACUUAUUUGUUAUACACUAGAUAAAGACAUGCGUCUUACAGAGUGUGGAUAUAGUAUCAAUAAUAAAUUGUAAUUUUUUUUACAUAUAUUGUGUAUAAAUUGGAUUUUUCUUUAGUUAGUAAUAUUAAAAUAUUUUAAAAAUUGUGUAACGUAAAACCACACGAAUAUACUUUUUAAUAUUAAAAAAUUGAACCAAUAUGUAAUGUACAAUCUUACACAUAAUAGUUUUUAAAUAUUCACAAUGUGUUGGAUUAUUCAAUUUAUUUGAUUUACAUGGCCGUAUUGAUAGGGGGAAAAUAUUUGGACAUGAUUUAUUUGACUUGGACCAGGUUUGUUGUUUAAUGUUUGUAUUCUUAAUAAUUGUUGAUGGGUUUAUCGUCGACGACAUGUUAUUGGUCCUAACCUAUUGAGAAUGAAAAUCAUAUCCAAUUUCUUAGUUCUAAUUUAUCAGCAAGCAAAACAAAAUAAAAUUGUUCAUCUUGUCUAUGUGAUUAAGAAAAAAGGAUUGGGAUUUACACGGUAAAAAUUUAACAUGUUUGACGUUCCCAGAAUCUUCAAACCAAAUCUUACCCAUAUGAUUCUUCUAUUAACAAUUUUUCUUUCCUUGUUGUUGCUUCUUCAUCGACAUCAACCAUCAUCUCCUCCGACAGUCUAUCAAGUGAAUUAGCUUCUCCCAUAAUUUUUGGGUUCUAACCUUUGCUUAUAUAAGUUGAAGAACAUACGAGAAUAUAUGCCUAAGAUUUUCCAAUUGUUAGCAUAUAAUUAGCUUGUCAAUCACUUAUACAAUUAAAAUUGUCAUAAGGCAUUAAACAUUAAUCCUAUCAAUACAUUCGUCCUUGACUUUAAAGCAUUGUAAAGGUAUAGGCAAUAUUUAGGAAUCACCCUAAUAUCAUUCCCAUAUAUAAAGAUUACCGUUCAGUUGAAUUAUUUCAUAUAGUUAAUACUAUAUAUAUAUAUGUUUUUCUAAAAUAAAAGAUGGCAACUUAGACUAUAUUAACGGGAUGAAUACACAAUAUAGACUAUAUUCAUUCUUACUUUUCUUGUAUACAUCUGUAUCAGAUAGUAAACCAAUUUUUAUUUGGUAUGUUUAACGGUUAACCACAUUGUUCGAAUUACAAUUCUGUUUGUGAUAACCGUUUGUCAAAUUUAUGAAUGUGACAUAUUGUGUUGUUUACUGCAUUUUUAUCUAACUUUUAUGAAUAUAAUGUUCCACUGAUUUUAUGUGUUUACAUAAAAUGGUUUAGUGGUCUUCUAUGGUCUCAACAGGUUCUGAUAUCAUUGCAUAUAGUAUUUUAAAAAAUGUUCAGAAUAGUUUCUUAUAUACUCAUAUUUUAGUCUAUCUACGGUUUAAAUAUGUGUUCUUUUUACAAUCUCAUAUGCAUAUGUUGCUUUAACUACAUGCGAAAGAUGACGAGUAAGUAUGGCAAAUAUGGAGUUUACGUGUUUAUAACGUGCAAAAUAUUAGAUUUAUUAGAAAAUAUUGUAUAAUUUAAUGUUUAAUAUUUAAUUUUAAUGUAAAUGGGAAAACGGCAAUAGUAGAAUGAAUGUUAGUAACAUAUUUUGUAAAUAAUGUAGUAAAGAAAGGGGAGUUAAUUAUUUAGGUUGAGAAUCAUUGUGAUAUUGACACCUAAGCAUGACAUGGAUGUAAAUAAAUUACAAAUUAAAUGUUACUCUCCCAAAAUGUAAAGAGAUUUUUUUUAUCAAGACCAACAAUCCAACCAAUUUAAUUUUCUUUGAAUAAUAUAUACACACAAUCAAAUCUAACAAAUGUUUCCAGUAACAAAUUUUUUAUAAAGCUAUAAAUAGGGAUUAUUCAUAGUAAUGAGGGGCAUCAAAAAGAAACAUACAUAGAAGAUACACAAAACUAAAAAAAAAAAAGAUGGAGAAGAAGUGUAUAUCUAUGUUGAUGAUUAUGUUCAUUGCAUUGACGAUGAUGCCAUUACAAUCAAUGAGUGAAUCGUAUGAAGCUUGUUAUGAUAGGUGCAUUUCUUCGUGCCAGAUAUUUUUUGAAGGAGUUGAUAAAUGCAUUCACGAUUGUGUUGGUAUCAAAUGUCAUAAAACACAAGAUGGCGGCUAAAGGGAUGUUUCAAGAAAUUCAUACAUAGAGAGAGAUAUGUUAUUAAACACACAUGAUGUUUAAGUUUACUACUAUCUGAUUUAUAUAAUUUUGAAUAAUAGAAUUCCUUCAUCAUUUAUAAAAUUCAACUAUUUUCACAACAUCAUCUAUUGCACAUU
Brassica rapa (field mustard) is the source of this 2872-nucleotide long non-coding RNA. RefSeq lists it as uncharacterized. NCBI's taxonomy places the organism in Eukaryota, Viridiplantae, Streptophyta, Magnoliopsida, Brassicales, Brassicaceae. The record is from RefSeq and is a predicted model, not a curated record.